CCUACGGGGGGCUGCAGUGGGGAAUAUUGGACAAUGGGGGGAACCCUGAUCCAGCCAUGCCGCGUGUGUGAAGAAGGCCCUCGGGUUGUAAAGCACUUUCAGUGAGGAAGAACGCCUGGUGGUUAAUACCCAUCAGGAAAGACAUCACUCACAGAAGAAGCACCGGCUAACUCCGUGCCAGCAGCCGCGGUAAUACGGAGGGUGCGAGUGUUAAUCGGAAUUACUGGGCGUAAAGCGCGCGUAGGUGGCUGGAUAAGCCGGUUGUGAAAGCCCCGGGCUCAACCUGGGAACGGCAUCCGGAACUGUCAAGCUAGAGUGCAGGAGAGGAAGGUAGAAUUCCCGGUGUAGCGGUGAAAUGCGUAGAGAUCGGGAGGAAUACCAGUGGCGAAGGCGGCCUUCUGGACUGACACUGACACUGAGGUGCGAAAGCGUGGGUAGCAAACAGGAUUAGAUACCCUUGUAGUC
This 465-nucleotide ribosomal RNA is filed under the name Vreelandella stevensii. RNAcentral describes it as "partial 16S ribosomal RNA". It matches the Rfam family "Bacterial small subunit ribosomal RNA", at positions 338 to 795 of the family's 1533-position model. The record is from RNAcentral. Lineage: Bacteria; Pseudomonadati; Pseudomonadota; Gammaproteobacteria; Oceanospirillales; Halomonadaceae.